GAAAGCUGUGGAUUUACUAGGUAUGUUCGUUUUCUUUUGUUAUUUACUAUGAGUAUUCGUGACAAUAUAUAUUUUUGUGCUAAUUUGUAUUAUCAUUUUGUAAUGUUAUUAAUAUUUCGCCGGAUAAUAAAUUACAGAAGUUUCAGCUUUCGUAAUCAAGCAAAUUGAUUAGCUUGUGAGUUUUUGAAAAGUGAUUUCUUAUAAUCAAGCUAAUCGACUAGCUAGUAAAAUUUUGAGAAAUUUGGUCUUUGUAAAAUAAUGAGCUUUAUUAGAAGUUUCAUGAUAUUUCUUUUCUUCUUCUUCUUCUUACCGUCACUAUUUUUUUAAUCAUUAUCUUUCUUAUUGAUAUUUUUCUCUCAUUGACCCAUUUUAUUAAUGGAUUGAUUCUAUAUAGAUGUUUAUGUUUUUCCAGUACUCCUCACUUGGCAUAAAAAAGAAACUGAAAAAUAAGAAAGAAAAAAGAAACAAAGAUUUUGUUAUAAAACAAUAAAAGAAGAGAGAGUAUUCCAGAGAAAAGUAGAGAGAAAGAGAGUUUAUUGAUUUGGAAUGAUUUACAAUGAAACAAAACUUAGGGAAAAAGUGACUUAGGCACAAAUUAACAAACUCUAUCUCUCAAAAAUAUAGACAUUCACCUUAAAUGCAAUUAUAUUUAUAAUAUUCCCCAUGAAUGUCUAUUCAACAGAUAAUGCGCCUCGUUAAAACCUUAGCUAUAAUAAAACCCAGUGGGAAAAAAUUCUAGAGAAGGAAAAAGAGUACACAUAUCUAACAAUACGCAUUUUGGUUGCCUGGUUAAAAACCCUGCAAGAAAAAUCAGUGGGACAAAAUCUUUUAAGGAAAAAAGAGUACAACACAUAUUAACUCCCUCUGAUGAGACAAUCAAUUCACAUCUUUGAGCCUUCGCAUCCCAAGCUUGUACACUAGCUUCUUGAAGGUUGACGUCGGUAGAGAUUUGAUGAAUAAAUCAGACAUAUUAACUCCAAUGAAUAUGUUACACCUUGAAAUAAUCAUUCGUGAUAGAUAUAUAAUGUCUUCAUAUAAUGCCGUGGAAUGACCUUUUCAAUAUCUCCGUAGAGGUAAAAAGUAUCGGUAUCACAUUAUCAUGCUUAUAGUUAUAGCAAUAUAUAUAUAUAUAUAUAUAUAUAUAUAUAUAUAUAUAUAUAUAUAUAUAUAUNNNNNNNNNNNNNNNNNNNNNNNNNNNNNNNNNNNNNNNNNNNNNNNNNNNNNNNNNNNNNNNNNNNNNNNNNNNNNNNNNNNNNNNNNNNNNNNNNNNNNNNNNNNNNNNNNNNNNNNNNNNNNNNNNNNNNNNNNNNNNNNNNNNNNNNNNNNNNNNNNNNNNNNNNNNNNNNNNNNNNNNNNNNNNNNNNNNNNNNNNNNNNNNNNNNNNNNNNNNNNNNNNNNNNNNNNNNNNNNNNNNNNNNNNNNNNNNNNNNNNNNNNNNNNNNNNNNNNNNNNNNNNNNNNNNNNNNNNNNNNNNNNNNNNNNNNNNNNNNNNNNNNNNNNNNNNNNNNNNNNNNNNNNNNNNNNNNNNNNNNNNNNNNNNNNNNNNNNNNNNNNNNNNNNNNNNNNNNNNNNNNNNNNNNNNNNNNNNNNNNNNNNNNNNNNNNNNNNNNNNNNNNNNNNNNNNNNNNNNNNNNNNNNNNNNNNNNNNNNNNNNNNNNNNNNNNNNNNNNNNNNNNNNNNNNNNNNNNGGACUAAGAAUUGUAUAUGCUUUAGGCGAUUGAAAUUCUUCAGAGAUGGUCAUAUAAAUUAAGUCAUAUAAGCCAUAUAAAUAGACUUUAGAUGCAUAUCAAGUUUUCAUGUCAUGCUAGACAUAUAAGAUAGAUAAAAGUGAUUGCAUGCAUUAUUGACUUUUAUACUUUCAAGUGUUUGAACUGCAAGUCCAAAACUACAUGUCUUUCAUAUGAAAUCAAUUCUACAUGAAUUGUUUCUCUAGACUUAAGAUCCUCAUAUAUAUUUAGCGUUAUCAUAGAUGUAAUCAACGAACAUUGUAUAUCAGUUCUAACCACUUUUUUUCAUAAAGACAUGACAUAGAGAUCUCUUCAUUCAUAUUUUCAUGUACCUGAACCUCUCCUGGAAUUUUAUGAAGUAUUAUAUUAUGUGAUUUUCUAGAUCAUUUGCCUCCUUAUUAUGAUCAUUUUGAUCAUUUGCUCAUCUUCUUUGUCAAGAAUUUUAUUUGAGACCGGUUUGUCUAUACGCUUUAAGCGUACCAUAUAUUUUGUCUUUAUAGGACUUAUUCUAACAGGAGCAUUUGCAGUAAGAAUAUAGUUACUUUCUUUAGGUAAGCAAAUGCGUUUGGCAUGCUUUGCAACAUAUUGUAGAUGGAUUAUCUUUUUAUGAACUUCAAGUUCAUAUUAUCUUAUUCGAGGAUCUAGAUGUACAAAUGAUAAUUCAUUUCGUAACUAUUUCUCAACUGUUUAUCAUGUCUCCCCCUUAUGUUAGAAAAGCUAACUUGCUUCCUCAACUUUGGAAAUCUACCUUUGUGUGAUAUGGUGUUAAUCAAAAUAUACACCGCACAUUAAUAAUAAUAAGAUAGAAUUAUUUGGUUCCUGACCUUGAACCAUUUGUGAGGGAAAAAUGUAAGUUAUAGACAAACUGUCACGACCCAAAAUCAACAGUCGUGAUGGCGCCUAUCGUGGAACUAGGUCAGCCACAACUCAACAUCUCAAUACUGUAAAACACUCUAAAAAUAAAGGCAGAAGUAAUUAAUAUUUAAGAAAAAGCCUCUUGAAAACAGAAACAACCCAAAAUGCGAUUCAACCUAUAUCAGAAUCGGGGUGUCACAGAGUACACGAGCGUCUAACCCAGAAUACAGUCCACUAUAGUGUCUAGGGAAUAAAAAUCAAAAUAUUGAUAGAAAUAAAGAAAAAGAGUCAAUGCCUGCGAACGCCAUACAACUACCUCGGUAGUCUCCGAGAUCUGACUUCUCAAUCAGCAGCCGCCGUGACCAGAAGCGUCUAGAUCUGCACACGAGGUGCAAGGAAUAACGUGAGUACAACCAACUCAGUAAGUAACAAGUCCAACCUUUGGACUAAAAGGUAGUGACGAACUCAACCAGUACAGUUAACAAUAGAAAUAACAGUGCAGAAAUAUUGGCAUGCUUUCAAAUUAAAUAGAUAGCUCAAAACAGUGAAAUAGAUCAGAUCUGAACAAUGUGAAGAAUAUAACUUUUCUAUUUCUACAUGCCAAUGCACAUGCUGUAUCUGAUGAACCAUGUUGUCAGCCUCAUGUGCUCACACUGUCAAAUGCUCAACCACUCGAUACUGUAUAUGGCCCAUACGGCUCAGGGAAGAUCCAUCCCGGAAUAUAUACAUCACUGACCAUAAUCAUCCAAUACCGAGGAAGGCCAAUCCAUCCUUAUAGAGAAGAUCCAUCUCCAAGUAUCACGUGCUUCAGAUAAGAUUCAUGUCUAGGGAGAUCCAUCCCUCAAUAAUAUCAACUACACUCACUGGGGUGUGUACAGAUCCCGAAGGGGCUCCUACAGCUCAAGCGCUAUCAUAAAAUCAGUAUAACUGCUGCUGCAUGUAGCCCGAUCCCAUAACUGUCACUCGUAAUCAGGCUCUUGGCCUCACUCAGUCAUCAAUCUCUCCAGUCUCACUCGCAGACUCAAAAAGUCAUGAAAACUAGCCCGAAAUAAUGAUAUAAUGUAUCAAUAAAUAACAACUGAGAUUUAGAUAUGAUAUGAAAUGAAUAAAUAUGACUGAGUACGAAAUAUCAAUGAAAUCAGUAAGGUGACAUUAUUGAUACAUUAAUUUAGCAUGAUUGGAAGUUCAAUUAAUUUAUCACUAAUAAAAAUACGGAUAUCAACAAGAUAAAAUCACUAUACGAUACCAUGGAAUCAACCAGGUCACAAUUCUCAUGGUGCAUGCCCGCCCGCCCAUCGCUUGGCAUGUGCGUCACGUUAAUACCAAUCACAUAACAAAUAAUUCGGGGUCUCGAAUCCUCAGAACCAAGUUUGAAAGUGUUACUUACCUCAAUUCGGGCAGAACUCAACUCCAAAAUGGAUUUGCCUCUCAAAUCGGUCUCCAAACGUCCCAAAUCUAGCCACAAGCAGUACAAUACAUUUAAUAUAGGCUAAAGGGAUCAAUUCCACAAGAAAAGUACUUAAUUACAAUCAAAAAUCCGAAAUCGGCUCAAACGCAGCCCCCCGGGCCCACGUCUCAAAAUCCUACAAAAAUCGCAAAGUCCAAAAGACCAUUCACUCACGAGUCUAACCAUACCAAAUUUACCCAAAUACGAUAACAAAAUCCCAUUCAAAACCUUAAAAAUCUAUCUCAAGAACUCUUCCUCUUUUUUCUCAAUUUUCCACCCCAAAUCACAAAUUAGAUGAUGCAAUUAAAGGUAAAAUCAUGGAAUUUAGCUGAAAACAAAUUAAGAAUCACUUAGCCUAAUCGACUCCUUGAAAACCCCUUCAAGAAUCGCCCAAAUCCGUGGUCUCUAGCUCAAAAUAUGAAAAAUGGGUCCAAACCUUCGUUUUUGAAAUUUAACACUGCUGCCCAGAUAUUCCUUCAUCGUGAACGUGACCCUUCUCUCGCGUUCGCGUAGUAAAAAUGAUUCUAUCGCCAAAAACCCUCUUCUGAACGCGUCCAACCAACCGCGAACACGAUGCUUCCCUGGCCCCUUACUUCGCAAAUGCGACUACACUUCUGCGAACGCGUAGACCAAAUGGCUGGGGUCCUCAGCUGCCUCACUCCUCUUCGCAAAUGCGUUACACUUCUCGCGUUCGCGAUGCCUCUAUUGACCACACCUUCGCGUUCAGUCCUCUUCUUCAUGAACACGAAGAACAAAAUCUUCCCAGCUCAUAGACACCCUUCGCAAACGGGAGUCUCCUCUCGUGAAUGCUUAAGAGGAAACUAGAAGAACAAACUAGAAGAACACACCACCAGUUAUCAGCUAACAACCUAAGUCCAAAAAUGAUCUGUUAACCAUCCGAAACUAACCCGAGGCCCCCGGGACCUCAACCAAACAUAGUAUCAAGUCCCAAAACAUCAUAGGAACUUAGUCAAACCCUCAAAUCACCUCAAACAAUAUCAAAAAUAUGAAUUACACCCGGAUUCAAGCCUAAUGAACAUUGAAAUAUCCAAAUUCUACAAACAACGUCGAAACCUAUCAAAUCAUUUUCGAUUGACCUCAAAUUUUGCACACAAGUCAUAAAUGACACCAUAAACCUACUCCAACUUCCAAAAAAUCCAAUCCGACCAUGAUAUCUAAAAGUCUACCCUCGAUCAAACUUUUUAAAAUUCCAACUUUCACUAAUUCAAGCCUAAUUCUACUACGGACCUCCAAAUCACAAUCCGAACACGCUCCUAAGUCCAAAAUCACCUAAUAGUGCUAACGGAACCAUCAAAAUUCAAAUUCGAGGUCGUUUACAUGUAAGUCGACAUCCGGUCAACUUUUCCAACUUAAGCUUUCAAUUAGGAGACUAAGUGUCUCAAUUCACUCCGAAAUCACUCCAGACCCGAACCAACUAACCCAAUGAGUCAUAUAAUAGCUGUAGAACACAAACUGAGCAGUAAAUGGGUAAAUAGGGCUUCAAAUCUUAAAAUGACCGGCCGGGUGGUUACAUUCUCCCCCUCUUAAACAAACAUUCAUCCUCGAACGGGUCUAGAAACAUACCUGAAGUCUCAAAUAAGUGUGGAUAUCUGCUCCGUAUCUCCCUCCCAGUCUCUGAAGUAUCCUCCUCCACGGGCUGACCUCUCCAUUGCACCUUCACUAAAGCUAUAUUCUUUGACCUCAACUUUCGAACCUGCCGAUCCAAAAUGGCCACCGGCUCCACAUCAUAAGUCAACUCACCAUCCAACUGAACCAUGCUGAAAUCCAAAACAUGAGACAGAUCACCGGCGUACUUCCGGAGCAUAGAAACAUGAAAUACUGGUUGUGCACUUGACAACCUAGGUGGCAAGGCAAGCUCGUAGUCCACCUCUCCAAUCCUCCGAAGCACCUCAAACGGCCUAAUAAAUCGUGGACUCCACUUGCGCUUCUUUCCAAAUCUCAUAACACCCUUUAUGGGUGAAACCUUCAGCAGAACCUUCUCCCCAACCAGGUAAGACACGUCACAGACCUUCCUGUCAUCAUAACUCUUCUAUCUCGACUGUGACGUGCGAAGCCACUCCUAAAUCAAUUUCACCUUGUCUAAUGCAUCCUGAACCAAGUCUGUACCCAAAAGCCUAGCCUCACCCGGCUCAAACCAACCCACCGAAAAUCUACACUGCCUCCCAUAUAAAGCCUUAUACGGAGUCAUCUGAAUGCUCGACUAAUAAUUGUUAUGGUAAAUAAAUUCCACCAGCGACAGAAACUGGUCCCAUGAACCUCCAAAAUUAAUGACACAAGCGCGUAGCAUGUCCUCCAAUAUCUGAAUGGUGCGCUUGGACUAUCCGUCCGUCUGAGGGUGAAAUGUUGUGCUCAACUCCACUUGAGUGUCCAACUCUCACUGCACGACCCUCCAAAACUGCGAUGUAAAUUGCAUGCCUCUAUCUGAAAUGAUAUAAACUGGCACACCGUGAAGGCGAACAAUCUCACGGAUGUAAAUCUUAGCCAACCACUCUGAAGAAUAAGUAGUACCAACUAGAAUGAAGUGCAGACUUGGUCAGUCGAUUCACAAUCACCCAAAUAGCAUCAAACUUCCUCAAAGCUCGUGAAAGUCCAACUACAAAAUCCAUGGUGAUCCGCUCCCAAUUCCACUCCGGAAUCUUUAUCAUCUAAAGAAAUCCACCCGGCCUUUGAUGCACAUAUUUUACCUGCUGACAGUUGAGACAUCGAGCUACGAACCCAACGUUAUCCUUAUUCAUUCUCCUCCACCAAUUGUGCUGCCUCAAAUCUUGAUACAUCUUUGUGGCACCCGGAUGGAUGGAAUACUGCGAGCUGUGGGCCUCCUCAAGAAUUAACUCCCGUAGCCCAUCUACAUUGGGCACACAUAUCCUGCCCUGCAUCCUUAAUACCCCAUCAUCUCCAGUAGUGACAUCUCUAGAAUCACCACGCUGAACCCUAUCCUUGAGGACAAGCAAAUGAGGAUCAUCAUAUUGGCUCUCUCUGAUGCGAUUAAACAAGGAAGACCGAGAAACUACACAAGAUAGAACCCGACUAGGCUCCGAAACAUCUAAUCUCAUGAACUGGUUGGCCAAUGCCUGAACAUCAACUGAAAGAUGUCUCUCACCAACAGGAAUAAAUGAAAGACUACCCAUACUCACUGCCUUUCUACUCAAGGCAUCGGCCACCAUAUUGGCCUUUCCCAGAUGAUACAGAAUAGUGAUAUCACACUCCUUUAGCAGCUCCUACCAUCUCCGCUGCCUCAAAUUGAGAUCCUUCUGUUUGAACAAGUGCUGGAGGCUAUGAUAAUCAGUAAAUAGCUCACAAGACUCACCAUAGAGAUAGUGCCUCCAAAUCUUCAAUGCAUGAACAAUGACAGCCAACUCCAAAUCAUGAACAAGGCAGAUCUUCUCAUGGGGCUUUAACUGGCACGAAACAUAAGCAAUUACUCUACCCUCCUACAUCAAAACACAUCCGAUACCGAUCCGAGAAGCAUCACAAUAUACUGUAUAAGAACCAUAAGCUGAUGGUAGAACUGGAAUUGUGGUCAAGGCAGUCUUGAGCUUCUGAAAGCUAUCCUCACACUCAUCUGACCGCCUGAAAGGAUCACCCUUUUGGGUCAAUUUGGUCAAGGGCGAUGCAAUAGAUGAGAAACCCUGCACGAAGCAACGGUAAUAACCAUCCAAACCAAGAAAGCUCUGAAUCUUUGUAGUUGAGGACGGUCUGGGCCAACUCUGCACUGCCUCAUCUUCUUCAGAUCCACCUGAAUACCAUCAAUGGACACCACGUGCCCCAAGAAUGCCACUAAAAUGAGCCAAAACUCACACUUGGAGAGCUUGGCAUAACGUUUCUCCUCCCUCAAUCGCUGGAACACAACCCUCAAAUAUUGGGCGUACUCCUCCCGGCUACGAGAGUACACCAGGAUAUCAUCAAUGAACACAAUAACAAACGAGUCGAGAUAGGGCUGAAACACACCGUUCAUCAGGUGCGUGAAUGUUGCUGGGGCGUUGGUCAGCCCAAAUGACAUCACAAGGAACUCAUAAUGACCAUAGCGGGUCCUGAAAGCUAUCUUAAGAAUAUCCGAGUCCCGAAUCUUCAACUGGUGAUACCCUAACCUCAAAUCAAUCUUGGAGAACACCCUCUCUCCCUGAAGCUGGUCAAAUAGAUCAUCAAUGUGCGGCAAAGGAUACUUGUUCUUGAUUGUGGCUUUUUUCAACUGCCUAUAAUCAAGCACAUUCUCAUAGUGCCAUCAUUCUUCUUCACAAAUAGAACCAGUGCAGGUGACACACUAGGCCUAAUAAACCCCUUCUCAAGAAGUUCCUAAAGCUGCUCCUUCAACUCCUUCAACUCAGCCGGUGCCAUAUAGUAUGGAGGAAUAGAAAUGGGCUGAGUGUACGGCACCAAGUCAAUACCAAAAUCAAUAUCCAUGUAGGGCGGCAUGCCCGACAGGUCUGCAUGAAACACAUUCGAAAAAUCUCGUACUACCGGAACAGAAUCAAUAGUAGGGGUCUCUGCACUAACAUCCCUCACAAAGGACAAAUAAGAGAGACAAACCUUCCCAACUAUCAUAUAGGCCUUUAGUAUGAAAUCACUCUACUGGGAACAUAGUCUAAAGAACCUUGCAACACAAUCUGUGGCAACCCCGACAUCGCCAAUGCCACUGCCUUAACAUGACAAUACAAAAUAGCAUGACACGAAUACAACAAAUCCAUACCCAAUAUCACAUCAAAAUCAACCAAACUAAGAAGGAAAAGAUCAACUCUAGUCUCCAAUCCCCAAACAGUCACUAACACGACCGAUAUACACGGUCCACAAUAAUAGUAUCGUCCACUGGCGUAGAUAUAUGAAUAGAUAAAACUAAAGACUCACAGGGCAUAUCCAAAUGAUGAGCAAAAUAUGAAGAUACAUAUGAAUAGGUGGAACCGGGGUCAAAUAAUAUAGAUGCAUCUCGAUGACAUAUGGAGACAAUACUUGUGAUCACUAUGUCUUAAGAAAUAGCAUCUUGUCUAGAAGGGAGUGCAUAGAAAUGGGUCUGACCGCCACCUGAUCGGCCUACCCCUAGCUGACUAAGCUCCACCCCGAGUUGGCUGGGCAGGUGGUGAAGUAACUGGUGCUGAAGGCAUAGGCUGACUCCUCUGCGGAGCUGAACCUCUUGAGAGGCGGGGACAAUACCUCUUGAUAUUACCCAAAUCUCCACACUCAAAGCAACCUCUCCCUGCAAAUGGGGUGGGGAUUUAAGGGAGCCCUGAGCACCGAGAUAACUGCUUGAAGGCCCCGAUAUAGAUGAACCCUGAGCUGAUGGUGCAUGAGACGAACUCUGAGCUGGAAGGGCACUGAGAGAUGAGUGACCCUAAUGAGAACUGUGAGAACCAUGGACAAAUGAUGCACCACGGUGAACUGGGCGAGCCGUCUGAGCAUGCUUAUAAGGACGACCUAUGUCGUGGUGGAACUGAUCUCCAGAAGGAACACCACCAAAACUACCUAAUCCAUGAGAUCUAUUAUCCUCCCUCUCGACCCACUCUUGGUUGUGCACCAACUCUAUUUGUCGAGCAAUGUCAACAACCUCAUCAAAAGUAGCACCAGACACCCUCUCUUUAGUUAUAAGUAGCCGCAGUUGAAAUGUGAGGCCAUCAAUUAACCUCAUGAUCCUCUCCCUAUCAGCGGGAACAAAAUCGCAUGACGGGCCAACUCAGAAAACCUCAUCUCAUACUGCAUCACAGUUAUUAUCAUCCUGACGCAACUGCUCAAACUGUCUGCACAGAUCCUCUCUACGAGACUGCAGCAUGAACUUCUUUAAUAAGGGAAUGGUGAACUCCUGCCAGGUAAGUGGUGCUGCAACGAUCAGCCUACGCCUCUCAUAAGCCUCUUACCAACUGAAAGCAGCUCCAGAGAACUAAAAAGUAGUGAACGAGACCCCAUGGGUCUCCAAAGUACUUGUUGUACGUCGCAUCCUCUGACACUUAUCCAAUAAGCCUUGUGUAUCCUCCGCCUUUGUACCACUGAAAGAUGGAGGCUGGAGUCUCCCAAACCUCUCCAAUCUACGCUGCUCAUCAUCAGGCAUGACAGGAAUCACAUAGUCCUGAGCAGCUGCAACCGGUUGGGUUGGUGGUUCCCUCGGUGUCUAGAGUCCCUGCAUCACCUGCUCUGGUAUGCGGACGGCAGGAGUCUAAGUACCUCCCCCUGCUUGAGAAGUGGUUGUUGCGACCGGAACAGACACUGUCUGAGCAAGACUGGUGCAAACGAUCAGAAUUUGAGCUAAGGCCUCCUAAAGGCCUGGAAUCACAAUGGGCGCGGGCGGUGCCUAAGCUGGCCCCACUUGCACAUCGACAACUGGGACCUGCUCUUGAACUGGAAAAACUGGUAGAUCUGUAGGUGCCUCCCUAGCUGAUGUGCAAGAUGUACCUAUGCCCCUACCGCGCCCUCUACCAUGACUUUGGCCUCUCGCAGCCCUAGCUGGUGGUACUGGCGACUGUCCGUGAAAUCAGUAAGGUGAUAGCAAGAAACGAUCCUUCUGGGUCUCAACAAUACCGGCAUAAAGCCUAAAUAUGAUAUCUAGCAUGAUUGGCAAUACAAUUACUUUAUCACAUAAUGAAAACACAGAUAUCAAUAAGAUAAAAUCACUAUAUCGUACCAUAGAAUCAACCAGGUCACAAUUAUCAUGGUGCACGCCCACACGCCCGUCACUUGGCAUGUGCGUCACCUCAAUAUCAAACACAUAACACAUAAUUCGGGGUCUCAAACCCUCAGAACCAAGUUUGAAAGUGUUACUUACCUCAAUUCAAGCAAAACUUUACUCCAAAAUGCUUUUGCCUCUCAAAUCGGUCUCCAAAUAUCCCCGAAUCUAGCCAAAAAUAGUACAAUACAACUAAUAUAGGCUAACGGGAUCAAUUUCACAAGAAAAGUACUAAAUUAUAGCCAAAAAUCCGAAAUCGGCUCAAAUCGGGUUCACGUCUCAAAAUCUGAUAAAAAUCACAAAACGCGAAAGCCCAUUCACUCACGAGUCUAACCAUAACAAAUUUACCAAAAUCCGAUAACAAAAUCCCAAUCAAAACCUCAAAAAUCUAUCUUAAGAACUCUUCCUCUUUUUCCCAAUUUCCACCUCAAAUCUCAAAUUAGAUGAUGGAAUUAAAGGUAAAAUCAUGGAAUUUAGUUAAAACGAAGUAAGAAUCACUUAUCCCAGUCGACUCCUUGAAACCCCUUUCAAGAAUCACACAAAUCCGUGGUCUCUAGCUCAAAAUAUAAAAAAUGGGUCCAAACUCUCGUUUUUGAAAUUUAACACUGCUCCCCAGAUAUUCCUUCAUCGUGAACACACCCCUUCCCUCGCGUUCGCGUAGUACAAAUGAUUCUUCGCCAAAAACCCUCUUCGCGAACGCGUCCAACCAGCCGCGAACACAAUUCUUCGCUGACCCCUCACUUCGCGAACGCGACUACACUUCCGCAAAUGCGUAGACCAAAUGGAUGGGUCCCCAGUUGCCUCACUCCUCUUCGCGAAUGCAUUACACUUCUCGCGUUCGCGAUGCCUCUACUGACCACACCUUCGCGUUCGCACCCUAUUCUUCGCAAACGCGAAAAACAAAAUCUUCCCUGCUCACAGAUACCCUUGGCGAACGCGAGACUCCUCUCACGAAUGCAUAAGAGGAAACCAGAAGAACACACCAACAAUUAUCAGCCAACAACCCAAGUCUAAAAAUCAUCUGUUAGCUAUCCGAAAUCCACCCGAGGCCCCUAGGACCUCAACCAAACAUACAUUCAAGUCCAAAAAUAUAAUACAAACUUAGUGGAACCCUCAAAUUACCUCAAACAACAUAAAAACACGAAUUACACUUAGAUUCAAGCCUAAUGAACUUUAAAAUUUCUAAAUUCUACAGACAACGUCGAAACCUAUCAAAUCACGUUCGAUUGACCUCAAAAUUUGUAGACAAGUUAUAAAUGACACCGUGAACCUACUCCAACUUCCGUAAAUCCAAUCCGAACUCGAUAUCAAAAAGUCCACCCUCGAUCAAACUUCCCAAAAUUCUAACUUUUGCCAAUUGAAGCAUAAUUCUACUACGGACCUCCAAAUCAUAAUCCGGACAUGCUCCUAAGUCCAAAUCACCUAAAGGAGCUAACGGAACCAUCAAAAUUCAAAUUUGAAGUCGUUUACACAUAAGUUGACAUACAAUCAACUUUUCCAACUUAAGCUUUCAAUUAGGAGACUAAGUAUCUCAAUUCACUCCUAAAUCACUCCGGACCGGAACCAACUAACCCAGUAAGUCAUAUAAUAGUUGUAGAACAUAAAAGGAGCAGUAAAUAGGGAAACAAGGCUACAACUCUCAAAACGAUCGGCCGGGUUGUUACACAAAUACCAGGUUGCGGUUUAAUAAUCGCUCAUGUAACCAUCUCAUAGAUGUAUCUUAUAUGAUAUUUCCAGUAUUCGUGGAAUUCAAUCCCAAUUUUAGUUGGUCUAUUAAUUAAUUAGAACAAGUAAUAUAAAAGAAUUCGUAAAGAUUUUUCUAGUUCUUUAAUAUUUACCCAUGUGAAUUCUCUUUUAUUUUUCACAUCAUAUUUUAAUUAAUAUGGCUAAACCAAUUAUGCCACCUGGAUAAAUUAUCAAUAUUUAUAAACUUUAGGUUUACACAAUGACGUGUGCAAUUAUGAAUAAACUCCAAAUUUAUUAUGAUAUAGUUUUUUAUAUCAAUAAACUUCUACUUUAUUGUGUCAUUCUUUUAUUUAUGUAGUACAAAUUGGGGAAUAAAGCGGGUAUCUUUUCACUUGCCAUAUUACCCCGCUACAAGUUGUAGUAAUAGAAGAUUAAAUCUUUCUUUUAUUUUUGUAAUGACCCGAUCGGGUGUCUUGAGAAUUUGCACUUCGCUCGGUAGUUUGAGUAUAUGAGUAGCUCCGUAUGAUGUAUUAUAACUUGUGUAAAUCAUCGAUUUGUGUUUUCAGGUUAUUCGAAAUCGAUUUGGAAGAAUGGAUUCCAAGAUUUAAGCUUAAGUUGGAAGAAUUGAGAAAGUUUGACUUUUUGGUAUUUGACCUUGGAUUAGAGUUUUGAUUAUCCCAUCAGGUCCGGAUAGUAAUUUUGGACUCGGACAUAUGCCCAGAUUUGCAUUGGAUAUUUCUAGAAGGUUUCGACACAAACUGGCAAAAAUUGGAACUUGAAGGUUUGGAAAAGUUUAUAAGUUUGAUCGAGAGUUAACUUUGAUGAUAUCAGAUUCGGAUUGUGGUUUUGGGAAUUGAAAUAUCUUUGUUAUGUUAUUUGGGACUUGUGUGCAAAAUUUGAGUUCAUUCCGAGUUGAUUUGAUAUGUUUCGGCGCGAGUUUUGAAAUUUGAAAGUUGAAAGUUCAUUAAGUUCGAAUUGAGGUGCGAUUCAUUGUUUCAAUAUUGUUAUGUGUGAUUUGAUCCUUGAUUAGGUCCGUUUUAUGUUAUGGGACUUGUUGAUAUAAUUGGUCGGGGUCCCAGGUGGCCCGGGUGAGUUUCAGAUCGAUUUGGGAUCAUUUUCCUUCAUUUUAGCAUUGCUGGUUCUACUGAGCAUCUGGUUUCCUUGUUCGUGAUUGCAUAGAGUUAACCAGAUCGUGUAGAGUUUCUUGAUGGAUGGGGUUGUUCAUUGCAUUCGUGAAUCCUCAGACGUGUUCGCGUAGGCAGCUGCCAAUUGUGCAAUGUGUCUGUGCAAGUGUUCACGCGUUCGCAUAGUGUUUGGCUGAGCUGGGCAGUCGAUGGCCUCUUCUUUGUGUUCGCGAUGUUUCUACCAUGUUCGCUAGUUCUAUCUUAUGUGUGUAUCGCGUUCGCGUGGAUUUUUCCGCAAAUGCGUAGAGUUAAUUGUAGCAGUGUUGGGUUGUGCAUCGCGAUCGCGAGGGUACUGCCGCGAUCGCGUAAAUUACCACUAGGCAGUGCAUAUAAGUACUCUGUGUUUUCGGACCUUGAGUCAUUUUAUCAUAUUUGAAGCUAUGGAGCUCGGAUUGGAAUGAUUUUUGAAGAAAAUUUCACCAUGUGGAUUGGGUAAGUGUUCUCUACUUAUUUUUGAUUUUAUAUCAUGAAUCUAUCUUCGAUUUUGGCAUUUGGACUAUAAAUUUUAAAGAGGAAAUUGGGGUUUUUUGUCUAAAAUUUCAUAAAACGAAUUUUUGAGUUUUGAACAUCGACUCAGAUUUCGAUUUGAGCGGAACUAGUAUGGUUGGACUCGUAAUUGAAUGAGUUUUCAGAUUUUAUGAGUUUCAUCGGGUUCCGAGGUGCGAGCUCGAGUUUGACUUUUUGGUUGAUUUUGGGCUUUUGAUUAAAGAUUCGACCUUUAUCGAUUGGAUUUAUUUCCUUUGGCAUUAUUUGUUGUAUUUGAGUUGCUUUUAGCUAGUUUUGAGUCGUUCGAAGGUCGGUACGCGCGAGAUGGCAUUUUUGGAGCAUUGUUUGGCUUGCUUGGUGUUGGUUUUGGCUUGUUCGAGGUAUGUAACACUUCUAAACUUGGUGCUGAGGGUAUGAAACCUUAAAUUAUGUAUUAUGUGAUUGAUGUUGAGGUGAUGCACAUG
This 14516-nucleotide long non-coding RNA is filed under the name Nicotiana tabacum (common tobacco). RNAcentral's name for it is "long non-coding RNA (NTAB_LNC019606)". Lineage: Eukaryota; Viridiplantae; Streptophyta; Magnoliopsida; Solanales; Solanaceae. The record is from RNAcentral.